GAUGAAGAACGCAGCGAAAUGCGAUAAGUAGUGUGAAUUGCAGAAUUCAGUGAAUCAUCGAAUCUUUGAACGCACAAUGCGCCCCUUGGUAUUCCAUGGGGCAUGCCUGUUCGAGCGUCAUUUGUACCUUCAAGCUCUGCUUGGUGUUGGGUGUUUGUCUCGCCUCUGCGUGUAGACUCGCCUCAAAACAAUUGGCAGCCGGCGUAUUGAUUUCGGAGCGCAGUACAUCUCGCGCUUUGCACUCAUAACGACGACGUCCAAAAGUACAUUUUUACACUCUUGACCUCGGAUCAGGUAGGGAUACCCGCUGAACUUAAGCAUAUCAAUAAGCGGAGGA
Molecule: unclassified non-coding RNA, 337 nt
Filed under: soil metagenome
Description: partial contains 5.8S ribosomal RNA, internal transcribed spacer 2, and large subunit ribosomal RNA
Rfam family: 5.8S ribosomal RNA (bases 1-120)
Source: RNAcentral